RNAcentral lists this ribosomal RNA (1309 nucleotides) under uncultured bacterium. RNAcentral's name for it is "bacterial SSU rRNA". It matches the Rfam family "Bacterial small subunit ribosomal RNA", at positions 8 to 1292 of the family's 1533-position model. The record is from RNAcentral.
AGAGUUUGAUCCUGGCUCAGAACGAACGUUGGCGGCGUGGAUUAGGCAUGCAAGUCGAACGAGAAAGUUUCCUUCGGGAAGCGAGUACAGUGGCGAACGGGAGAGUAACGCGUGGGAAACCUGCCCUUCAGCGGGGGACAACACUUCUAACGAGGUGCUAAUACCGCAUACGAUUCGGAUACCGCAUGGUGCCCGAAUGAAAGAUGGCCUCUACAUGUAAGCUGUCACUGAAGGAUGGUCCCGCGUCCCAUUAGCUUGUUGGUGGGGUAAUGGCCUACCAAGGCGACGAUGGGUAGCCGGCCUGAGAGGGUGUCCGGCCUCACUGGGACUGAGAUACGGCCCAGACUCCUACGGGAGGCAGCAGUCGAGAAGCUUCGGCAAUGGGCGAAAGCCUGACCGAGCGACGCCGCGUGAGCGAUGAAGGCCCUAGGGUCGUAAAGCUCUGUCAGGAGGGAAUAAAUUCCUGCGGUUAAUACCCGUAGGCGCUGAAGGUACCUCCAGAGGAAGCGCCGGCUAACUACGUGCCAGCAGCCGCGGUAAUACGUAGGGCGCAAACGUUGUUCGGAUUAACUGGGUAUAAAGGGUUCGUAGGCUGGCUAUUAAGUCAGAGGUGAAAGCCACCGGCUCAACCGGUGAAUUGCCUCUGAUACUGAUAGUCUUGAGUCCGUUAGGGGGUGGUGGAAUUCCUGGUGUAGCGGUGAAAUGCGUAAAUAUCAGGAGGAACACCAGUGGCGAAGGCGGCCACCUGGGACGGUACUGACGCUGAGGAACGAAAGCAUGGGUAUCAAACGGGAUUAGACUACCCCGGUAGUCCAUGCCGUAAACGAUGGGCACUAGGUGUCGGAGGAGCUUACCCCUUCGGUGCCGCAGCUAACGCAUUAAGUGCCCCACCUGGGGAGUACGAUCGCAAGGUUGAAACUCAAAGGAAUUGACGGGGGCCCGCACAAGCGGUGGAGCAUGUGGUUUAAUUCGAUGCAACGCGAAGAACCUUACCUGGGCUUGACGUGCAGGAGACAGCCGUGGAAACACGGUUUCCUUCGGGUUCCUGCACAGGUGCUGCAUGGCUGUCGUCAGCUCGUGUCGUGAAAUGUUGGGUUAAGUCCCGCAACGAGCGCAACCCUUGUCCUUAGUUGCCAUCAGGUUAUGCUGGGAAACUCUAAGGAGACUGCCGGUGACAAACCGGAGGAAGGUGGGGACGACGUCAAGUCAUCAUGGCCCUUACGUCCAGGGCUACACACGUGCUACAAUGGCCGGUACAAUGAGCUGCAAUACCGCGAGGUGGAGCGAAUCUCAAAAAGCCGGUCUCAGU